CUGUCUGUUUUCAUCGAGAGGGGGGGGCGACAGACGCCACUACCCCGACUCCCCUCGUGGGGGGGGUCCACGCCACCUGGAAAGACUCAGAAGAGUCCCCCCGCAGGGUGAGAGCGAAAGGGCCGCGAAGCACAACGCGUAUGGACGGGAAGACCCACACGAGGCGGAGGUUCCCAAGGUCCUCCCCACACGGGAGGAAAAGCUCACGAACGUGAGAGGGGACCGAGGUCCGCUAGAGAAGUCAGACGGCUCCGAGGACGGUCAGAACCGGGCCCACCCUCGACUCCGAGCCCAAGAGAGCGGCAGGAAGGCAAUAGCCCGCCCCCGGCCACGCGGGGAAAGACGCGGAGAGGCAACACCGAAAAGCCGAGAUCGCGGGCGCUCGAGGACGCAGCGCCCCCCAGGAGCAAACGGGACCCACGAGGGUCCGCCGCGCGGGGGUCAAGCGGCCCCGACCAGCCCAAAAUUACGUCCCCUCUGACCCUUCCUUCUCCGGCGAGCGAUCGGUGGCCGCACGACAGUCAAAGGCGAAGCGCGGAGGGAAGGAAGGGCGCGAAGCCCCCCCCACGAGCCACACGAGCGCGCUCAACGCCUGGCGGAGAAGACACCUUUCGCCAACAGAACCGGAGGAGAUUCGAGAACAGAGGGACGGGGGCCCGGCGCAGGAAAAGACCCACACGAACGCGGCGGGGGGCGGCCCGCCGAGAACUCGGAACAACGGCACACACGCGACCCGCGGCCAACGCGACCAAACCGGGGAACUUUUCCCUUUCUCUCGCUCUCUCCACACAGCGAUGCGCACAGAGAUGGCUCAAUGCUCCUCCUUCGCCUCCCCAGAGCAGAGCGGGGCACCAAGGAGACAACCUCCAGUCGGUCCAGUGCAUCUCACAGGCUACUCCGAAAAAGGGGGACCACGUGAAGGCAUCGCGGGAAGGCGAUCGGCAAGGAGGGGGUGGGGUGCAGGAAAGCCGACCAGGAAACCUCACGCGAUGUAUGACCCCGGCACACACAGCUCAACCUCACCCGCAGCACCCCCACCGUUCGAGGCCGCCGCCAAAGCAGAAACACGGCCCUAGGAGCAGGCCCGGUCCACUCGACUUGGGCAGGAACCGCCACUCCCCCCUCCCCAGGCGGGGCAGCGGGAGCCAGGAACAGGCGGGUGAGCGACAGAGUCAUCAUCGCCUGCCCGACGGCCCUCCCUCGCGGGACCAGGGACACCACAUCGAUCCGAGGAGAAAUCCCCAAAGACGGGAAAGAGGGCGGGAGGGGACAGCGGCCCAACGAGCCCAAAACGGGCCGAGAGAGGAGAGGACCCAGAGCGGAACGCCACCCGGGGAAAAAAAACCAAGGGCCGACCCCAACGCCACCAAGAGGAGAGAGCGGAAGACGGGGGCCGGGCGGCAACCCGGAGGCGCCGCGCGGCCCGAGGCAACGACCACUUCCCACCAGCCGAGAGGUUCCGGAGAAGGACCGAGACCGGCAGCGGACCGCCUCACAGCACGACAACGGCCCCAAAACCAAAAGCACGGCUUGGCUUUUUCUGCACACCGGCUCGUCUUCCCCAUUCCCAACAACAGCCAGAGCACUUCUCCCCACUAGUCUGCAGGCACAAUCACCCGUUUGUUGACGAAAAAAUUACGUGCCGCACCACCGGGGGAAA
This 1660-nucleotide long non-coding RNA is filed under the name Monodelphis domestica (gray short-tailed opossum). RNAcentral describes it as "lncRNA (ENSMODG00000051097.1)". The record is from RNAcentral. Lineage: Eukaryota; Metazoa; Chordata; Mammalia; Didelphimorphia; Didelphidae.